GGAGGUAGUGACAAUAAAUCACAAUGCGGAACUUCUGUUUUGCAAUUGGAUUGAGAACAACGCACAACACUUAUCGAUAAACAAUUGGAGGGCAAGUCUGGUGCCAGCAGCCGCGGUAAUUCCAGCUCCAAUAGCGUAUAUUAACGUUGUUGCAGUUAAAAAGCUCGUAGUUGAAGUGAAGUGUGAAUCUUCUGGAUUUUCGUUAGAAUUUCCAGCUGCUUCAUACUCUUUCCAAAUAGUUUGCAUGGGUAUUCACUUAUCUGUGUAUUGCAUUUGGUCAUUUACUGUGAGAAAAUUAGAGUGUUCAAAGCAUACGUUUGUUUGAAUACAUUAGCAUGGAAUAAUUCGAAAAGGCUUUCAUGUUCGAUUUGAUUGGUUUGUUCGUGAAGGCAAGAUUAAAAGGGACAGUUGGGGGUAUUCAUAUUCAAUAGUCAGAGGUGAAAUUCUCGGAUUUAUGGAAGAUGAACAAGUGCGAAAGCA
This 480-nucleotide ribosomal RNA is filed under the name Blastocystis sp. Its description in RNAcentral is "SSU rRNA". It matches the Rfam family "Eukaryotic small subunit ribosomal RNA", at positions 460 to 953 of the family's 1831-position model. The record is from RNAcentral. Lineage: Eukaryota; Bigyra; Opalinata; Blastocystidae.